GAGGAAUAUUGCACAAUGGGGGGAACCCUGAUGCAGCAACGCCGCGUGGAGGAUGACGCAUUUCGGUGUGUAAACUCCUUUUAUAUGUCAAGAAAAUGACGGUAGCAUAUGAAUAAGCACCGGCUAACUCCGUGCCAGCAGCCGCGGUAAUACGGAGGGUGCAAGCGUUACUCGGAAUCACUGGGCGUAAAGGACGCGUAGGCUGUUUUGCAAGUCAGAUGUGAAAUCCAAUGGCUCAACCAUUGAACUGCAUUUGAAACUGCUAGACUAGAGUAUGGGAGGGGGAGAUGGAAUUAGUGGUGUAGGGGUAAAAUCCGUAGAUAUCACUAGGAAUACCUAAAGCGAAGGCGAUCUCCUGGAACAUUACUGACGCUAAGGCGUGAAAGCGUGGGGAGCAAAC
This 400-nucleotide ribosomal RNA is filed under the name uncultured bacterium. RNAcentral describes it as "bacterial SSU rRNA". It matches the Rfam family "Bacterial small subunit ribosomal RNA", at positions 356 to 773 of the family's 1533-position model. The record is from RNAcentral.